AACAGAGUGAGACUCCAUCUUAAAAAAAAAAAAGGAUAAACAUUUAAUGCCAGAAAGGGACUUCUUAUGGGCAUGGGAGGAGGAAAAUGUUAUAGGAGUUUACAUAUAUUUGUAAAGUAUCCCUUCUUUUAAAAGAUCUGAAAUGACUAAACGUUAAUGUUUGAUAAAGCUAUUAGGUACAGGUAUUCUUUUAAGUAUUCUGAAUGUUUGAUGUAUUUUACAAUAUUUUCAAAAGUGAGAUGAUCUUCCAGGAAGCUGACAUUUUUUAUCUCAUGGACCACAUCCGGUGUUGCAUAACUUCAAGUUUCUGCCCAGCAAUGUGGUAAUUCUUCGGCUGUUUUCUCUGCCAACAGUGGAUGUACUUGGCAACUGCAGUGCAGUCAUGGGGAACCUAGUUCUCUUUUGACUAUGAUGGAGACCUCUGCUGGCUGAAAAAGAAGGCAGCAGCAUCAACAAGAAAAAGAAGAGACACCAGAAAUGUGCACACAGAGGAAAGGACACAGGAAGAUGGCAUCCGUCUGCAAGCCAAGGAGAGGGGUCUUGCAGGAGAGACCAAACCUGCCACCCUGUUGAUUUUGGA
Cercocebus atys (sooty mangabey) is the source of this 580-nucleotide long non-coding RNA. RefSeq lists it as uncharacterized. The transcript is spliced from 3 exons. The record is from RefSeq and is a predicted model, not a curated record. Lineage: Eukaryota; Metazoa; Chordata; Mammalia; Primates; Cercopithecidae.